Molecule: transfer RNA, 72 nt
Filed under: Camelus bactrianus (Bactrian camel)
Lineage: Eukaryota; Metazoa; Chordata; Mammalia; Artiodactyla; Camelidae
Also listed under: 3 other names
Rfam family: tRNA
About the family: Transfer RNA (tRNA) molecules are approximately 80 nucleotides in length. Their secondary structure includes four short double-helical elements and three loops (D, anti-codon, and T loops).
Source: Rfam by way of RNAcentral
GGAGGUCUAAUUCAGUGGUAGAGUGCAUGCUCAGCAUGCACAGGGUCCUGGGUUCAAUCCCCAGUACCUCCA